UGGAAGUCCAGUCAGGUGGGUUACGUCCA
RNAcentral lists this non-coding RNA (29 nucleotides) under Mus musculus (house mouse). The record is from RNAcentral. Lineage: Eukaryota; Metazoa; Chordata; Mammalia; Rodentia; Muridae.